AGGUAAGCUACUAAGAGCGAAUGGUGGAUGCCUUGACUGGUAAAGGCGAUGAAGGACGUACUAGACUGCGAUAAGCUACGGGGAGCUGUCAAGAAGCUUUGAUCCGUAGAUUUCCGAAUGGGGCAACCCAAUGUAUAGAGAUAUACAUUACCUAUAUAGGAGCGAACGAGGGGAAUUGAAACAUCUUAGUACCCUCAGGAAAAGAAAUCAAUAGAGAUUGCGUCAGUAGCGGCGAGCGAAAGCGCAAGAGGGCAAACCCAGUGCUUGCACUGGGGGUUGUAGGACUGCAAUGUGCAAGAGGUGAGUUUAGCAGAACAUUCUGGAAAGUAUAGCCAUAGAGGGUGAUAGUCCCGUAUGCGAAAAACAAACCUUAGCUAGCAGUAUCCUGAGUAGGGCGGGACACGAGAAAUCCUGUCUGAAGCUGGGUCGACCACGAUCCAACCCUAAAUACUAAUACCAGAUCGAUAGUGCACAAGUACCGUGAGGGAAAGGUGAAAAGAACUGAGGUGAUCAGAGUGAAAUAGAACCUGAAACCAUUUGCUUACAAUCAUUCAGAGCCCUAUGUAGCAAUACAGGGUGAUGGACUGCCUUUUGCAUAAUGAGCCUGCGAGUUGUGGUGUCUGGCAAGGUUAAGCAAACGCGAAGCCGUAGCGAAAGCGAGUCUGAAUAGGGCGCUUAGUCAGAUGCUGCAGACCCGAAACGAAGUGAUCUAUCCAUGAGCAAGUUGAAGCUAGUGUAAGAACUAGUGGAGGACUGAACCCAUAGGCGUUGAAAAGCCCCGGGAUGACUUGUGGAUAGGGGUGAAAGGCCAAUCAAACUUCGUGAUAGCUGGUUCUCUCCGAAAUAUAUUUAGGUAUAGCGUUGUGUCGUAAUAUAAGGGGGUAGAGCACUGAAUGGGCUAGGGCAUACACCAAUGUACCAAACCCUAUCAAACUCCGAAUACCUUAUAUGUAAUCACAGCAGUCAGGCGGCGAGUGAUAAAAUCCGUCGUCAAGAGGGAAACAACCCAGACUACCAGCUAAGGUCCCUAAAUCUUACUUAAGUGGAAAACGAUGUGAAGUUACUUAAACAACCAGGAGGUUGGCUUAGAAGCAGCCAUCCUUUAAAGAAAGCGUAAUAGCUCACUGGUCUAGUGAUUUUGCGCGGAAAAUAUAACGGGGCUAAAGUAAGUACCGAAGCUGUAGACUUAGUUUACUAAGUGGUAGGAGAGCGUUCUAUUUGCGUCGAAGGUAUACCGGUAAGGAGUGCUGGAGCGAAUAGAAGUGAGCAUGCAGGCAUGAGUAGCGAUAAUUAAUGUGAGAAUCAUUAACGCCGUAAACCCAAGGUUUCCUACGCGAUGCUCGUCAUCGUAGGGUUAGUCGGGUCCUAAGUCGAGUCCGAAAGGGGUAGACGAUGGCAAAUUGGUUAAUAUUCCAAUACCAACAUUAGUGUGCGAUGGAAGGACGCUUAGGGCUAAGGGGGCUAGCGGAUGGAAGUGCUAGUCUAAGGUCGUAGGAGGUUAUACAGGCAAAUCCGUAUAACAAUACUCCGAGAACUGAAA
This 1540-nucleotide ribosomal RNA is filed under the name Campylobacter coli. Its description in RNAcentral is "partial 23S ribosomal RNA". It matches the Rfam family "Bacterial large subunit ribosomal RNA", at positions 1 to 1568 of the family's 2925-position model. The record is from RNAcentral. Lineage: Bacteria; Pseudomonadati; Campylobacterota; Epsilonproteobacteria; Campylobacterales; Campylobacteraceae.